This 1790-nucleotide long non-coding RNA is filed under the name Macaca fascicularis (crab-eating macaque). RNAcentral's name for it is "lncRNA (ENSMFAG00000051568.1)". The record is from RNAcentral. Lineage: Eukaryota; Metazoa; Chordata; Mammalia; Primates; Cercopithecidae.
UUUUUUUUUUUUUCAUUUUAGGCAGAAUCUCUGUGAUAGCAUUUACUCUGCUUAAUAGAGUGCAAAUAAUGAGAUUUUUUUAAAAGUCAUUUUUUAGCUGUAAAUUCUUGGGCAAAUUACUUCUUAUCCUUGCUGUAAAAUAAUAAUUGUUCCUUCUUCAUAAUUUUUCUUUUCUUUUUUGAGGACCAGAUAAGUAAUCUAUUAAGAGACCUUAAUGUACUAACACGCAGCAAGGAGUCCAUCUGUAGUAACCAUGAUUAUCACUAAUCUCUCUCCAGCCAGCUCAAGUGCUUAAAGCUUGAGAAAGUGUUUGACGGCAAUUUCCCCAGCAGGUUGUAUGGAGGUGACUCUGAUUCUCACUAUUAUUAUUUUGUCUUUUAUGAUCAUAUCUUUCAUCAUCACAUUAUAUAGGUAUGAAGGCUCUGUGUAAUAACCAAAUGGAAGUCAGAGCAAUCAUUCUUAUGCUGUCACUCAGCCCAGUAACAGGUGAUUUGUAAGAGUUAAAACAACUUAAACUAAACAACAACAACAAAAACAAAAACACUCAAAUUGGGGAUUCUGAAUAUGGGAUUCAUGAAUGGACUUUAAGGGAAUGGGAAACCACCUAAUAUUUCCUUCAAAUCAUUGACUUUUUGGCCCAGGUAAUUUUGGGGACUGUCCUGUGCACUGUAUUUAGCGGGAUCUCGGGUCUUCACCCACUGGAUGCCAGUGAUACUCCCCAGUCAUGGGUUAUGAUAAUCAAAAUUAUCUUCAGACCUUGCCAAACAUCCCUUUCCUUCUUCAGAAUCACUGUGGUAAAACUUUAUACGUAUGUGCAUUUUUUUUUUUCUGAAAGGCUUAUCAGUUUCAUCAUAUUUUUUAAAAGACCUGUGACCUUAAAAGGCUUGGAACCAAUCACUUAAGAUCUUUCAAAAUAAUAAUAAAAGAACACAUAUCUUCAGCUGUCGUUGUGGGAAAAAUGUACACCAUCAUGGCUAAUUAAAAUGGUGCAGUCUGAAAAUCUGCUAUGAAAUAUAUACCUGCCAAUUUAUUAUUUUCAACUCCUCUAAAAAGGCACCUCACAAAAACUAUAUCUGGGAAACUGUCUACUUCAAAAACUGCUGUUCCCAGAUGGCACACUUCUUAAAAUACUGUCUUCAGUAGAGACUCCCACAGUCAUCUACUGAAUCUAGCUCUCAACUUCUAAAGGGGUUAGUGCUAAUGACAAGUGGAAAAAGUCCUUAAGUCCAGAGGGGAACUAAAAAUCAGUUGUUUCGCAGAAAAGAAAUCAAAUGAUGGAAUAAACUGCAAAAUUGAUCAGGAGGCAAGAUGGAGCAGAAGGGAGGGAGGAAGUGAAGAGAAAGGGAAGGAGGGAGAGAGAGAAAGAGAGAGAGAGAGAGAGAGAGAGAGAGAGAGAGAGACCUUUGAAAUAGAGUAUCGCUUGGGAGAGGCUCGCUAGAGGUCUGCCCUGGCUCCUCUGGAAAGGCAGAUGCCCCCAUGCCAUACAGGAGCCUUGGGCUCUCUGCUGUGCUUUAAUUCCCACGUCCACAACCGCCUCGUUCAACGCCUUCCAAAGUGACCACUUCUCAAAAGCCUCCUCAAAUCUCAAAGGGGCCACUUUACCCACUCUGUAAGGCCCUCUUUCCCGUCUACGGCUUCUAACGGCGGCAGGAAAACAAGCAUAAACCCGAACAGUAAACCCAGAAAAGCCAACAGGCAAAGUGUGUCAUCUUCCGUGGCCCCUCGGGGUCACCCAGGAAGACAAGCAACUUUCUCCCAUACUUCUCGGUCUGUCUGCCUUCCCCACUCUC